Myotis lucifugus (little brown bat) is the source of this 4588-nucleotide long non-coding RNA. RefSeq lists it as uncharacterized. The transcript is spliced from 3 exons. The record is from RefSeq and is a predicted model, not a curated record. NCBI's taxonomy places the organism in Eukaryota, Metazoa, Chordata, Mammalia, Chiroptera, Vespertilionidae.
CCCCCGGCAGAAAGGAGAGGGACUCCCUAUUCAAGGCAGGAGGCUCUCCCCCACUUGUCGCCGGGCACUCAGUGAGAUACCCCACACCUGUGGAAAACGACUACCAAGGAGGCCUCCAGUCCAUCCAAACUUUCAAUUUGGAAACCGAGCUGCCUGGACUCUCGAGAGAGGUUUUGCAGAGAUUGCAAGGCCAUUAUACUCUGCAACGGGGGGAAAGGAAGCCAUCCUGGUCUGGACAGAAAAGGAAGAAGAGGCUUAUAAAAGACUGAAAGAAGCCCUGUAGUUGCCCGAAUGCAGUUGAGACCUUAUUAAGAAGCCCCCCGGAGAGAUGGAUGUCUAACGCCCGCAUUACCCAGUACCAGGUGUUGCUGCUAGACCCACCACGAGUCAGCUUCCUGAAAACAGCUGCCUUAAACCCAGCCACACUCCUCCCUGCCGAGGAGGUAGAGCCCCCUUUGCAUGACUGCGAGGAGACAUUGACUGCCCUCACUUCCCUCCGAGAGGACCUCGUGGACCAGCCCCUGCAGAAUCCGGAUGAGAGAAUCUACACGGAUGGGAGCAGCUUCGUAGAAGGAGGUACCCGGUAUGCGGGGGCGGCAGUGGUGACACAAAAGGAGAUUCUCUGGGCACAGGCCUUAGGACGAGGCACCUCAGCCCAAAAGGCAGAACUCAAAGCACUCACUCAGGCCCUCCAGUGGGGAAAAUGAAAAAGAGUGAACAUUUUCACGGACAGUCGGUAUGCUUUUACCACAGUACAUGUGCAUGGGGCCCUAUAUCAAGAAAGAGGUCUCCUGACAUCAGGAGGAAAGGACAUUAAAAACGAGUCUGAAAUACUUAAUCUCCUGGCAGCCAUAUGGGGGCCAAAGAAAGUGGCGGUAAUUCAUUGUUGGGGGCACCAGAAGGGAAAUAGUCCCGAAGCACAGGGAAAUCGAUUUGCAGUCCUAACCACCAAGGAAGUGGCUAAAAGACCUGUAGGGCCCCUAGAAGUUCUCGUAGCCCUGCCAGCACGAAGGCUUCCAGAGAAGCCUACUUAUUUAUUAGAGGAGCAGAGACUAGCUAAGAAGCUAAGGGCCCGGGAAGGAGAGGAUGGAUGGCUAAUUCUGCCAGUUGGGAGGCCUAUAGUACCAGAAGUCCUGGGGCGGACCAUCGCUUCCCAGACCCACCAAAGCACCCACCUGGGGGGAACGAAGCUAUCAGAACUACUGGGAAGAGAAUUUUACAUUCCAGGGCUCCAGAAAAUAUCCCAAGACUUGGCCAGAAGGUGCCAAGUAUGUGCCCAGGUGAACCAAGGGCCCCCUCUUGUGGCCGCACCGGGGCAGCGAUUCCGAGGUCAGAACCCCGGAGAACACUGGGAAGUGGACUUCACUGAGAAACCAGGAGGACAAGGAGGAUAUAAGUACCUGCUGGUUUUUGUUGAUACCUUCUCUGGAUGGCCUGAGGCAUACCCAACUAAGGCAGAGACAGCACAGGUAGUAGUUAGGAAACUCCUCACUAAAAUUGUCCCCCGGUUUGGCCUGCUACUAUAUGUGGGGUCCGACAACGGUCCAGUGUUUAUCGCCAAAGUUGCACAAUUCAUAGUUAAGGCCCUGAGAGUAACUUGGAAAUUACAUUGUGUUUAUAGACCACAGAGUUCUGGACAGGUAGAGAGGAUGAAUCGGACCUUAAAGGAAACAUUAACUAAGUUAAAAUUAGAGACUGGCGAAAACUGGGUAAGUGUCCUUCCUUUAGCCCUCCUCAGAGCUAGGUGCACCCCGUACAUAAAAGGACUCACCCCUUUUGAAAUUAUGUUUGGCAGGCCUCCACCUCUUCUUCCCCGCCUAAGGGAGGAAGAAAUUGCCUGGCUGUAUCCCUGAAAUAUGCUUAAGUCCUUACAGGCUUUGCAGAGCAGCGCCAGGUCGGCACAACGGGUGGUGAGAGCCUUACGUGAGGAGGACGCACUGAGAACCAGCCCAACGCAGCCUGCCUUCUCUCCGGGUGAUCUCGUCUGGGUAAAACCCCACAGCCCUAGCAGCCUGGAACCUAGAUGGGAUGGACCCUACCAGGUGGUGCUGAGCACUCCAACCGCCAUCAAAGUUGCAGGAAAGAGGCACUGGAUCCAUCGUACGCAGGUUAAGAAGGCAAAGGACAGUGUCGAGGGAUGGUGGGUCCAGAGAACUGGAGACCUGUUAAAGGUCAGACUCACUCGGUGUUCAUCCUGACUCUUCUCGUCUGCAUGCACCAGGAUUGGGAAAUCCCCAUUCAGCCAAGAAUUACUCUUGGGAGGUCACAAGUACUAUUGAUUGGAUUGUUAUAGGCUCUGUUGUAGGAGUAGGGGUGCCUGUCAUCCAGACAGAUCUCUGCAAACUGUUUGGAAACAACUGGGGAAAUUCCCAUAGCUGAUCCGUAUGGACCAGGUAUGGCUGGGGGGACCAACCCUGGGUCACCGGAGUCAGGAGUUAUGGGUGCAGAAGCUUGGACUUAGAGCAAGGAUUAUGGCACACUGAACAUUAUGUCUGCCCCCGGGAAGGGGGUAGUGACUGUGGAGGAGAGGGAGACUUCUAUUGUGCCUCUGGGGUCUGUGAGACCCUAGCCCUAUGGAAAAAACCUCCCACCGACAAACUCCUCCGUCUGACCAGAGAGGUUCGAACUGGGGCCCCAAAGGAAAACUGCACUAUCGGAGAUUGCAACCCCGUCAUCCUCAUGCCUCUUGCCUGGUGGACUGACCAAUGGGAAGGGGAAAAACGUGGGGGCUAAGACUCUAUGUCAGCAGCCGAGACCCUGGCCAGCUUUUUACCAUUCAGCGCCGGACUCUUCCCCAGUGGCUCAACCCGAUUGGCCCCUUGCGUCCCCUAGAAAAACAGAAGAGGCCGAGCUUGCCACAGCACCCAGCCCCAGCAAAACCUCCUGGUUCCCCUGAGUCACAAAAGCCUGGGAACCCCAGCCGUGCUCCACCUGCAGCCACAACCUCGCCAGCCCUUGGGAACAUACAACAGCUUUUAGGAGCAGGCACAGGAAGACCAAACCAGCAGCUGCUGGGAACUCUGGACUUAAUGUUUUCUUUCCUGAAUCGCACCUCCCCAAACCUGACCGCUGAUUGCUGGCUGUGCCUUAACCCUGAACCCCCUUAUUAUGUUGGGAUAGGGGCAGAGGCCCAGCUUAGGAAGGAUACCUCUGCCAUCAGAAACCUUUCAGUAGAAAGUCUGCUGGACGGACUGUGUAUGUGGGGACACAAACAACCGGGACUUACUCUUGGGGACAUCCUGAACCCAGGGACUUGUGUGUACCCUAGGAACUACCCCGUUAGCAGUUCCACUUAUACAGAUCUAUGUAAUUCAUCUAUCAUACUUCCAAUGAAUUAUACAGGAGAGACCCCCACCUACUUAGAGCUCCGGAGGGGACUUGGUGGGCAUGUACAACUGGUAUAAUUCCUUGCAUCUUCUCUCCAGUCCUCCAGCAUCCAACGAACCCUGGACUAUGCAUUCUAACUCAUAUCCUCCCACAGGUGUACUACUAUUUGGGAGAAGGGGGCCGAGAACAUUUAAAUCUCGAACCCAAGAGGGUUAGAAGGGCCCCCAUCCUAGUUCCCCUUCUUAUGGGAAAAGGACUAGCAGAAUCUACGGCCAUCGGAACAGUUGCCCUAGCAACUGGCCACCAAAAUUAUAAAGAGUUAAGCAGACAGAUAAUAUUUGAGCACUCUUGAGAAAUCUGUUAGCCAACUGGAGGACUCCCUCAGUUCACUUGCAGAGGUGGUGUUGCAAAACAGAAGAGGCCUAGAUCUGCUUUUCCUAAAGCAGGGAGGCCUCUGUCUGGCCCUAGGGGAAACUUGCUGUUUCUACACCAACCACUCCGGGGUAAUCAGGGAAAGCCUUAGCCAGCUGGGAAAACGGCUGGCUGACCGAGAAGAGGCAAGAAGGGCAGAGGGAAAUUGGUAUGAGAAUUUAUUUUCCUGGUCCCCCUGGCUAACUACCCUGCUCUCUGCACUGGCAGGACCAGUCAUUAUACUCCUCCUAAGGCUAAUAUUUGGCACCUGCAUUGCCAGAUGCCUCCUCAACUUCAUACAAAAUCGAAUACAGGCUGUAAAGUUAAUGGUUUUACAUACCCAAUACUCCAGAAUCUUAGAGGAGAAUGCUGAAUCAAAGAUUUGAUUCGGGCAUAAGUCCAGUAGGGAAUGUCACAGGGUGUGGGACUGAGCCAUGGAAAGGAUUGCCAAAUGUUACAGAAUGUGCUAAGGGGAGGAAAGGAAACAUGAGAAACUGAAUGUACUGGGAGGGGGGACUGACGUAUGGAGAGUGAUUGUGUAGGACUGUGUCAGGGACAGAAGGCAUGGAAGAAAAAUUGCGAGAUUGUCUUAGAAAAACAAUGUGUUAUGUAUGAUACGCUCCAGCCAGGUGUGACUCUGUUUACCCACCUCUGUUCUCAUGAACUUUUUGUGAACUUCUAAUGAAAUGCAUUGUAGUUGUUUUGUUUUUUUCUAACACUAUGUAAUUUUGCUAUAAAAAUCAUACUGCACACUUGCUCUUGGCCACAUGCUGCGAGGCUUCCCAGAGGGGGAAGGUACGGGCUGUGGUCAGCUGGCCAGCUUAAUAAAGACUCUUAAAUUUAAAUUCUA